RNAcentral lists this ribosomal RNA (274 nucleotides) under uncultured bacterium. RNAcentral's name for it is "partial 16S ribosomal RNA". It matches the Rfam family "Bacterial small subunit ribosomal RNA", at positions 523 to 796 of the family's 1533-position model. The record is from RNAcentral.
AUACGGAGGGUGCAAGCGUUGUUCGGAAUCACUGGGCGUAAAGGGCGCGCAGGCGGUUUGGUAAGUCAGAUGUGAAAGCCCACGGCUCAACCGUGGAAGUGCAUUUGAAACUGUCAGACUUGAGUACUAGAGGGGAAAGUGGAAUUCCCGGUGUAGAGGUGAAAUUCGUAGAUAUCGGGAGGAGUACCGGUGGCGAAGGCGACUUUCUGGCUAGAUACUGACGCUGAGGCGCGAAAGCGGGGGGAGCAAACAGGAUUAGAAACCCCGGUAGUCC